RNAcentral lists this ribosomal RNA (452 nucleotides) under uncultured bacterium. RNAcentral's name for it is "bacterial SSU rRNA". It matches the Rfam family "Bacterial small subunit ribosomal RNA", at positions 354 to 796 of the family's 1533-position model. The record is from RNAcentral.
GUGGGGAAUCUUGCGCAAUGGGCGAAAGCCUGACGCAGCGACGCCGCGUGGGGGAGGAAGCUUUUCGGAGUGUAAACCUCUGUCAGGGGGGAAGAAUGGGCACCCGAGGAAAUGCGGGUGUUUUGACGGUACCUCCAAAGGAAGCACCGGCUAACUCUGUGCCAGCAGCCGCGGUAAUACAGAGGGUGCGAGCGUUGUUCGGAAUUACUGGGCGUAAAGCGCGCGCAGGCGGCCUUUUAAGUCUACCCGUGAAAUGCCGGAGCUCAACUCCGUGCACGCCGGGGGAUACUGGAGGGCUGGAGACAGGUAGAGGCAGGCGGAAUUCCGGGUGUAGCGGUGGAAUGCGUAGAGAUCCGGAAGAACACCAGAGGCGAAGGCGGCCUGCUGGGCCUUGUCUGACGCUGAGGCGCGAAAGCGUGGGGAGCGAACAGGAUUAGAAACCCCAGUAGUCC